AUUUAUCUAAUAUAAUAAUUAAAGUAUAUUUGACUUCCAAUCAAAAAGUUUGUAAAACAAGAUAAAUA
This 68-nucleotide transfer RNA is filed under the name Protagonista lugubris. Its description in RNAcentral is "tRNA-Gly". The record is from RNAcentral. Lineage: Eukaryota; Metazoa; Arthropoda; Insecta; Blattodea; Blattidae.